This 429-nucleotide ribosomal RNA is filed under the name uncultured bacterium. RNAcentral describes it as "bacterial SSU rRNA". It matches the Rfam family "Bacterial small subunit ribosomal RNA", at positions 355 to 775 of the family's 1533-position model. The record is from RNAcentral.
UGGGGAAUAUUGGGCAAUGGGCGAAAGCCUGACCCAGCGACGCCGCGUGGGUGAUGAAGGCCUUCGGGUUGUAAAGCCCUUUCGUGCGGAAAGAACAGUCCCGUGGUUAAUACCCGCGGGAUUUGACGGUACCGCAGGAAGAAGCACCGGCUAACUCCGUGCCAGCAGCCGCGGUAAUACGGAGGGUGCAAGCGUUGUUCGGGAUUACUGGGCGUAAAGGGCGCGUAGGCGGUAAUGUAAGUCAGAUGUGAAAUCCUUCGGCUUAACCGGAGAACUGCAUCUGAAACUGCAUAACUAGAGUACAGAAGAGGGAAACGGAAUUCCCGGUGUAGAGGUGAAAUUCGUAGAUAUCGGGAGGAACACCAGUGGCGAAGGCGGUUUCCUGGUCUGAUACUGACGCUGAGGCGCGAAAGCGUGGGGAGCAAACAG